CUUUUUAUUUUAAAGUCAUUAUAUAACUUGACAAUAUUUUGUUUUCUUUUCUAAAAGAUAUCGAAUAUAAAAUAAUGAAAUCCUAUUGGUUGGUUAACCUAGAGGUUUACGCCAGGGGUGAACCCAAGAAUAACACUCGUAUAUUAUUGGGUCUUUGUUUGUUGGUCAAUCACUAUGUUGCUUGCUAGAACUUUCAUUGUGACAUACCGACAUUUGUUCCGUGAGAAAAUCAUCUUAAUAGAUUUCAAAUAAGAUGACCAUUGAGAAAGGGCAUGAAUUUAAUUUAUUCUUGAAAUUAAAUUUUAAAGAAGGGUUAUGUAAGUAAAUAGUUUGCUAUACUACAAAAGAAAUCCAAAUUAAAAUUAAGUUAAAAUGUGUAUUUAAGUAUUUGUAAUCCACAUGUUUAUUCCUCAACUAUAGCUCGUGUAGAAUAAUACUUUAAUAUAUGAUUGUAAAAAUUUGUGAUUAAAAGGUCAAAUCUCUUAAUAGUUAACGGUAAUAUAUUUUUUAAACGUGAUCAUGAUUAUAAUUUUAAAACCAGAAUUCACAAAAAUGAGUAUUUAAUUAUUCAACUAUAUGCAAUUGACAACAGAAAAGGUCGACUAACAUAAUUUAUGAUGAUUUUUGGUUGUUUCUCCGCUGCUUUUUCUCAUUUCUUCGAGACAACAUUGAUAAACAUAGAAUCUGGAACUGUGUUAUCAUCUUCUCCUGAAGAGUAAUUGGAAGAUGACUCCGAAGAUGUAGACUCAGCGCCAGCCUCAGAGUCGAAUUCAAAAGAAACCUCUUCUUCAAGGCAAUUUAGAAGAUUCAGAUUUGUUCAUCCUCCCCUUUCUUCUUCGAGCUGAAGAGUUGCAGAAAGAGCAAGGGAUUGGAGCAGUAAAGCAUCUACAAAUAUUAUGUUCAACUUCUUUACAAUUAUCACAAGUUGGAGGGAGUCAGGGAUAUGAGACUUCAACUCGAUGCGUGUAACCAGAUUCAAACUAGACAUUCAUGACUUCUGGCAGAGGUUUUGAAAGAUCAAUAACUAUGAACAUCCUUGCAAUUUAAUUUCGAUAUAUGAGGAUGGAGGUAGAGAGGAAUCCCAACAGUGCCGGCCCUUGCAUGAAGCCAACGAAGCACCCGCUUGCGGCCGUGUAUUUUAUUAACUAAAUUCGGCCACAUUUCAUAAAUGUUUUCUUUAGUGUAGUGGUUAACUCUUGCCCACAUUUUCAUCAGAAUAAGGGUUCGACACCCAGUGACCACAAUUUCACUAUCUAUUUUUUCUUUAUGUUUUUUUUUCUUUAUAAAAGUGGCCACAUUUUUAUU
Molecule: long non-coding RNA, 1305 nt
Organism: Brassica napus (rape)
Lineage: Eukaryota; Viridiplantae; Streptophyta; Magnoliopsida; Brassicales; Brassicaceae
Exons: 2
Source: RefSeq, a predicted model, not a curated record